This 253-nucleotide ribosomal RNA is filed under the name uncultured bacterium. RNAcentral's name for it is "partial 16S ribosomal RNA". It matches the Rfam family "Bacterial small subunit ribosomal RNA", at positions 524 to 776 of the family's 1533-position model. The record is from RNAcentral.
GACAGAGGUGCCGAGCGUUAGGCGGAAUCACUGGGCUUAAAGCGUGUGUAGGCGGAUGCCUAAGUACCUUGUGAAAUCCCACGGCUUAACCGUGGAACUGCUUGGUAUACUGGGUGUCUUGAGCCACUUAGGGGCGACCGGAACAAACGGUGGAGCGGUGAAAUGCGUAGAUAUCUGGAGGAACACCGGUGGCGAAGGCGGCGUUCUGGACUGCAACUGACACUGAUGAACGAAAGCCAGGGGAGCAAACGGG